GCGCAGUUUUGUUUUCCUCGCGCUGCGCAGUGCAAAAUGCAAAGCUAUAGUGAGAGUGAUAGCAUGAGCGGAGAUUAUGACUCCGACUUGGAUGAGCGGCCUACAGAACGACCACGAACGAUAAAGGCGUAUGCCUACGAUCCGUCCGCGUCGUCAAGCGAAACUGACGAUGAAUCGCCGCAGCAGUCCCCGUCCGCGGUGCCGAGGGAGUCUGGACCAGCAACGUGGUGCUGUUGUGGCGACCGAUGCGCCGACAUGCCGACGGCAAGAGAGAGAACAUGCUGCAAAGAGCAAGAUCGAGUGGCGAAAGCCACUGAGCACUACGAGUGCAUUACGAAGUACUUUUUGAUCUUUACUGCCUCAACGAACAUGUGCUCGAGCUAGAGUACAUCAAGCUGCAGUACUACAACCCUCACAGAGUGGGGCAAAGGGACCAACAUGAUAAAUACAAAUACACUGCUUACAGGCAGUUUGUCUGGUGGAUACAAGGAAGACUGGGCCAAGGAAGGAGGGUGGUCAUCCCAAGCUGUGUGGUUCAGAGAUUGAGAGAAGAAUUCCCUUCAAGAAGUGGACAAUACGCCGGUUACUUGGACCCAUGAUUGUCGUCCAGCAAAUAAACACACAGAUGUGAAAUUGUCUUCAAACCAAUUUACUUCACAACUUCAGGCUGGUUGACUGAUUGCACUAGCACCACGGCUUGAUUACAAUCCAUGAUUAAAUCGUUCUCUCCGUGUGGAAACAAGGGCGUCCUUGUCGACAGGCUCAAAGUUGCUAGACAGCGUCGGUGGCACUGUAGUGCUAGCCUGUCGCAUGGCUUCCUUGAAGCAGCUCGUCGCCAUGCACAGCUCAACAGUGCAGUUCAUGAGUUCUUUGAAAUAAUCUGUAAGAAGAAAUUGAGU
Molecule: long non-coding RNA, 899 nt
Organism: Dermacentor albipictus
Lineage: Eukaryota; Metazoa; Arthropoda; Arachnida; Ixodida; Ixodidae
Source: RefSeq, a predicted model, not a curated record